UACGUAGGGUGCGAGCGUUGUCCGGAAUUAUUGGGCGUAAAGGGCUCGUAGGCGGUUUGUCGCGUCGGGAGUGAAAACCUCGGGCUUAACUCGGGGCUUGCUUUCGAUACGGGCAGACUAGAGGUAUGCAGGGGGAGAACGGAAUUCCUGGUGUAGCGGUGGAAAUGCGCAGAUAUCAGGAGGAACACCGGUGGCGAAGGCGGUUCUCUGGGCAUAACUGACGCUGAGGAGCGAAAGCGUGGGGAGCAAACAGG
RNAcentral lists this ribosomal RNA (254 nucleotides) under uncultured bacterium. Its description in RNAcentral is "partial 16S ribosomal RNA". It matches the Rfam family "Bacterial small subunit ribosomal RNA", at positions 524 to 776 of the family's 1533-position model. The record is from RNAcentral.